Molecule: long non-coding RNA, 286 nt
Filed under: Nicotiana benthamiana
Lineage: Eukaryota; Viridiplantae; Streptophyta; Magnoliopsida; Solanales; Solanaceae
Description: long non-coding RNA (NBEN_LNC041215)
Source: RNAcentral
CUUAGAACUAUGCACUGACCUUAAACUCAAGAGUCACCUUAAAAAGGAUAGGAUGACUUCCAGAGCUGAAUUAGGUAGUUUCCGUAGAGACUUUGGAUUUGGAAACAUAGAUCCACCCCCUUCAAUCUAAGAAGAGUUCUAAGAAACAUUCCUUUAAGUCAAAAAAAUCUAGAAAACAUAUUUCUAGAGACAAACCUUCUCCUUCCAAAAAGAAAUUUAGGAAGAAAAGACCUUCCCAUAAGGAAGAUGUUUGCUGGAACUGUGGAAAAUCCGGUCAUAGAGCCAA